This 72-nucleotide transfer RNA is filed under the name Sarcophilus harrisii (Tasmanian devil). It matches the Rfam family "tRNA". From Rfam's summary of the family: Transfer RNA (tRNA) molecules are approximately 80 nucleotides in length. Their secondary structure includes four short double-helical elements and three loops (D, anti-codon, and T loops). The record is from Rfam by way of RNAcentral. Lineage: Eukaryota; Metazoa; Chordata; Mammalia; Dasyuromorphia; Dasyuridae.
GGCUGUGUGGUUUAGUGGUAAGUACAUUGGACUGAGAGUCCAGAGCCCUAGGUUGCAUUCCCAGCUCUGACA